AUCUAUUGUUGAUAAAUCAUGAGCCAUCAUUAACAGGAUAAUCAUCGCCAUUGUUGUCAUCAUAUAACCAUCAUCAGUUGUAAAAUGAACAGUUGAAUCGAAAGUGAUGAGAAGCCAUGUUGAGACAAGUGCGAUGUAAGAAAAAAGAUGAAGCAAAAAGCCAUAGAAGGAGAAAUAAAGUUGUUUGGUUAAACAAGAAGUUAAACAAAGACGAGGAAAGAAAAGCAGACGAUGCAAAGGGAAAAAUGGUGCAUUAGGAGGAGGAGGAAAAGGAAUGGAAAAGAUGAAAAUGAGCAACGGAAAAAGAGAUGAAUUCAAUCAAACUCAGCUGACUCCACAGAUCUUGUUAUUCUGGCUGUUCGACUUUUCGCUUUACACUCAAUGUUUAUUCUUGGUGGAUUAGGAUUUUUAUUGUUAAUUUGGAAUCAAGAUUCAUUACCUCUUAUGUUUAUUUGUGAUGAAGCAUGGACAGAUUCGUAUUCAUUUGAGGCAAAACAUUGGUAUAUUCCUCGGUGUUUACUUUUGAUCGAUUCAAUGUGAAGCAAAUCUUUUGCCACUAAAUGUAUCCCGAGUUCAGAUGAAUCUCCUUUAAUUGGUUUAUGAUCUUUCUCCCAUACUAUUGAAUCUAUUGGAUGGCCAGUUACCGAACAGUUAAGAAAUAGUGAACUUCCAACAUCAGUUGAUUCACUUGAAGGCACCAGUUUUGCGGACAAUGGAGCUGUUAAUCAAAUGUAAUUUUCAUGUUUGAUGGUUUCCAGUGUAAUUGAUGUUAGUUAAAGCAAAAGGAAGAAGACAGUCAGAGGAGAGAAAAAACAAUGGUAACAUGAUUAUUAAAUAAAUGUCAUGAUCAUAAUAGCUUAGAAGUGUAUAUCAAAGAGUAAUUGGGAUCAACAUCAACACUAUCAUCAACCUUAUCAUUAUUACUAUUAUCUUCGUCACCAUCAUCAUUAUCAUCAUCAGAUUUAUGGAUCUCCAGAGGAAUCAUGAGACAAACUGAUUUUGUUUUUUUACUUCUUCCUCUACUAAUACUUGCAAGAGCAAAAGGAAGUCACAAAAAAACAAUAUUCCAGUAUAAUUUUUCCAUGUCAAACGAUUGGUAAAGUCACCCGAAAAGAAGCUGCUUAUUACUCUCUCUAUUUGGUGCAACGAUGAUUAAACUCGACAAAACUCUUCUGACAAUUGUUGUCAAUCGUAACAUACAUUUAAAGAUACAUCCAUGGAUAGUUGGAAUCAUGUACAGUCGGCUAUUUUUUCUUCUUCUUCUUAUUGCUAAAUAGUUAUAACACAAGGAAACAAUCAAUUGCUGCUGCUGUUGAUAAUGAUGAUGAUGGUGGAAAGGGGUUGAUGGAUAAAAAAGAUGAUCACAAGAGGAAUCAAGGAGAAGAGGAGGAAGACAAGGCAAAAAAUGGUUUGCAAUAAGCAUGGAGGAAACAAGGAGUUGCAUAGAUGAACCAACGAGAUAAACUGAACAAUCUGUAGAAAUGAUGAAGAUAAAGAUGAAUGUUUGCCUAUUAUGUUACAUACCAAGAAUCUUGGUGAACAGAUUUAACCAAAAGGGAAAUAUUAUUUACACAAUUGCUUGUAAUAUCAUUCAUUACUUCAACAUUUCUCUUUUUUGUUUCGUUUGUUUGCUUUUUUUGUAUCAAUCUCUACAUUUCGUGAUUUCUACCUUUACAUGUAAGUCUUUGUUCAUUCUCACUAACCAUGUUAAAUCAAUUGAUGUUUGAUGUUUAUCACCGUUUAGCCGUUUAAAUUACCUGUAAAGUCGAAAAGAUUCUCUGUUUUUCCCUUUCCAAAUGUUUAUAUUAUAUGCAUAAAAACAUCAACAUGAACAAAUGGAAUUAUCGAGAAACACGAAUCUAGAAUGGUGAAUAUGAAUCUAUUACCUGUACAUUAAGAGGUUAACGUGACAGUCUUUACCUGAUUUACUAUUCUUUACCAUCUUAUUAACAUUGAAUCAUGAUAAGUUGAUGAUUCUAAAUUUGACAACACAUAUGGAAACAGCAAAUGGAAACAAAUUGAACAUUAAAAGUAAAGAGAGAAAAGAGAAAAUAUUUUAUUGUUUUCAAUCUAAAAAACAUUUCAAAUGGAAAAUCAAUUUACAUCUCACUUAUCCAAAUCAUCAACAUCACCACCACCAUCAUCAUCACUGAUUAUCCUGAAACAAUACUGAUAUCUUGAACCGUAAACAAAAUAUUAUUUUGAAUAUUGAGCUUAACCUCAUCGUUUUGAUACUUUUAAAAGCACCUAUUCAAUGGAAGUUGCGGGAGCGAUCAAGUGUUUAAUGGCAACCAAUUAUGUCAAUAGCGACCAUCAGCUAAACCUCCCACUGAAGUUAUCAUCAAAAAAAGGAUAUAUUUAUAUAUAUAACUAAACUAUGUUUCUAUUUCUCCAUCUUGAUCUAACAAAACAUUAUUCUGUCUGAAACUAAACUCAUUCUCCCAAGAUUCAGAAAAUGAUGAUGAUGAUGAUGAUGAUGAUGAACUAGAAGAAAGUUAGAGAAAAAACUAACAUCAUUUCACCUUAAACUUCUUCUUGUCCUCAUAACGAAAAGAUGAGCCUAAUAUCAUAUUGAUUGAAAGCAUCAGUUUUAAUCUUCAAAUGAUGAACCAAAUACAGAAACAGAUUCUAUUUUUUCUUCAUCAUCAUCAUCAACAUCAUCUUUUUUCCCUUCUCUAUUGUUUCACCUCCUUCAUGUUUCUUUCCUCGCUUUUUUCGCCUCUUCUU
Molecule: non-coding RNA, 2727 nt
Organism: Tetranychus urticae (two-spotted spider mite)
Lineage: Eukaryota; Metazoa; Arthropoda; Arachnida; Trombidiformes; Tetranychidae
Source: RefSeq, a predicted model, not a curated record